RNAcentral lists this long non-coding RNA (374 nucleotides) under Nicotiana benthamiana. RNAcentral describes it as "long non-coding RNA (NBEN_LNC031781)". The record is from RNAcentral. Lineage: Eukaryota; Viridiplantae; Streptophyta; Magnoliopsida; Solanales; Solanaceae.
GAUUCUCUACUCUUCUAUGACUAAAACCCAUUAAUCUAAUCACAAAUCCAACCUUCAAUUUCGAUUUUUGAAUGAAAAUUGGGGUAAAGUUCUUAGGCCUAACUUUGAUGACUUGAAGAGGCAUUUGACCUCCGAUUUGGGAGGACUUUAUAUGGUUAGACUCGUGAGAGUACGAGGUUUUUGAAAAUGUUAAAAUUAUUUAAUUCUGAGAUGUUGGCCUGAGGGGCAUUUUGGUCAUUUCACCUAUUUUCGUUUAACUUUAUUUGAAGGGGCAUUUGACCUCCGAUUUGGGAGAUUUUAUAUGGUUAGACUCAUGAGAGUACGUGAUUUCUGAAAAUGUGAAAAUUAUUCGAUUCCGAGACGUUGGCUUGAGG